RNAcentral lists this ribosomal RNA (54 nucleotides) under uncultured bacterium. RNAcentral describes it as "partial 16S ribosomal RNA". The record is from RNAcentral.
CCGGUGGCCAACCUUGUGAGGGAGCCGUCGAAGGUGGGAUCCGCGAUUGGGGUG